GAUGAACGCUGGCGGCGUGCCUAAUACAUGCAAGUCGAGCGAACAGACGAGGAGCUUGCUCCUCUGACGUUAGCGGCGGACGGGUGAGUAACACGUGGAUAACCUACCUAUAAGACUGGGAUAACUUCGGGAAACCGGAGCUAAUACCGGAUAAUAUAUUGAACCGCAUGGUUCAAUAGUGAAAGACGGUUUUGCUGUCACUUAUAGAUGGAUCCUCGCCGCAUUAGCUAGUUGGUAAGGUAACGGCUUACCAAGGCAACGAUGCGUAGCCGACCUGAGAGGGUGAUCGGCCACACGGGAACUGAGACACGGUCCAGACUACUACGGGAGGCAGCAGUAGGGAAUCUUACGCAAUGGGCGAAAGCUUGACGGAGCAACGCCGCGUGAGUGAUGAAGGUCUUCGGAUCGUAAAACUCCGUUAUUAGGGAAGAACAAAUGUGUAAGUAACUAUGCACGUCUUGACGGUACCUAAUCAGAAAGCCACGGCUAACUACGUG
This 497-nucleotide ribosomal RNA is filed under the name uncultured bacterium. RNAcentral's name for it is "partial 16S ribosomal RNA". It matches the Rfam family "Bacterial small subunit ribosomal RNA", at positions 28 to 507 of the family's 1533-position model. The record is from RNAcentral.